Molecule: RNA transcript, 5703 nt
Organism: Oxyura jamaicensis (ruddy duck)
Lineage: Eukaryota; Metazoa; Chordata; Aves; Anseriformes; Anatidae
Gene: B3GNT4
Gene name: UDP-GlcNAc:betaGal beta-1,3-N-acetylglucosaminyltransferase 4
Exons: 13
Source: RefSeq, a predicted model, not a curated record
GCUAGGUCACAUUCAGCCAAAGCUCUGGUAUCCUGCAGUUACAGUUUCAGCUUGGCAUAUUACAUUCCUACUGCAGAGUAUAUUUUUGAUGCAUUUUGCAUAAAGCGCUCAUAUUUCUGUAAAACCAGCCAGGUAUACAUCAUCUUCUUUGCUGCGUUCAUCCCCCCGAACUGCUCGCAGACCUUCUGGGGAAGAUCCUUGCUCCUGCAGGUGUAAGGCACCUCCAGUUCAGUCAUCGUCACGCUUAGCUGGAUGACACUUGCGUCCAUGGCCCGGAUGAAAUUCUUCCCACAGAUUGCUUCUGGGUCAUUUCUUAUGGUUUGCAAAAUAUUGUAAAAAACGUGCAUGCAGCAACCCGCAUCCAGAGGUGGGCAUUCGGGUAUUUUCUUCGCCAUUGCUUUGACUUGGGUGUCAGCAUUUAGCCAGCUUAAGGUUUUCGGUGUAACGAUGCUGCAUGCGUUCUGCAGGGGAGGAGGAGGAGAGAGAAAUCGUUAAUCUUUUGGUUUGCAUCUGUCCUGGUAGUUUCCACAUUAGACUGUCUAGGAGCAUGCACAUCUAUUUUUCAGCUUGUGUCUGCUUGAGGGUUUUUUGUUAUUGUUCACCGGCUGUAUUAACACCUACGCUCCUUUAUCAAGCAGCUAUUAUACACUAUCUGUGGCUAUGAUUGCGCAGCACUUUCUAUCUUAAUAACCUGCUUGGCAUUGUUUUCAGCUUUUCUGAGUCUUUUUUUAAACCAUAUAGGUAAAAUUUACUCAUGCAACACAUUUGCUGGGACCAGAAUAAAUCUGCUUCAGCAGAAAUGGUUUUGAUUUCAAGAAUGAAUUCAGGGGAAACGUUUUAUACUGAUUUUUAUCAGCGUAUUCUUGGGAACACGUUCCCAGGAAUUGAAAUUUGCCCGUGGUAUUGACUUUCAGCUUCAGUGAACGUUUUGCUGUCUCCAAGGAAAUGCCAGGCUGAGCAGGAUUUUCUGCAGAAGUGCUCCUGACUGCUCUAAUAUUAAGGUCAGACUGAAGAGGAAGGCAAUUCUCUCCAUCUUUCCAGUGAUCUGACUGGUUUCAUCCCAAAAGCUGCCUGCUUCAAGCUUGAUGUGACUCAGGAGACAAAGAAAAAUGCGCAAGUCUGGAAGACCACAGCUGGCACACCCAAGCUGUCCUAGACAUUGCUCCAACUGUCCUAAAAUAAGACAACACAAAUGCUUUCCUUCUUGUAUGGAAUACAGAGAGGUGCCUCUUCGAGGUUCUAACCCAACUAUUUAUUUUCUCAUGGUCUUCCUAGUAUUAUGUAACUAAAUCAAAGCAUUCCUCCCCAGACACGGGCCCAGCAAAUGCAAAGUAUUACACUUACGUAGUUUUUAAACAAGGUAGUUGCUUGCUUUUCUAGCACUAGCAGGGGCCUUAUUCUGGAAGUAGAAUGCCUCUGCCUCUGGUCUGUAGUAGUUUUGCCAUCUUCGGAUGUUGGUGCCAAGGAGACCAAAGGAGCCAGUGAGCAGAAGAGGAAGAUUACAAAUCUGGUGAUUUCUGCAUUCAAAUGAAAAAAAAGAAAAAAAAAAAUACAAUGAGUACAGUCUCAGGCGUCUACACCGUUUUUGCAAAACUUCCUGGUUCUUUGCAGCGUGCUAACUUUCUAAAGCAGAGAGACUUUGAGUGGCUGAGCUAAUGACGAGCAUCAACCAACGCAACCUUACGGCACGGUUAGGUCGCACCCACCUGUCUGGCGUUUCAUGGCGGGCUCAGGCGGCGGCUGGCUUGGCCAAAAGCUGGUGGGACGUCGGCGUUCAGGCUGCUUGGUGGCUGGAGUGCUGCGGCUGGGGACAGCCGAGCUGCGUUUAAGUACAGCGGGUUUUUGCGUCAGUGGCUCCCCCAUGUUCUCCUGCAGAUGAUGGUGUGGGAUUUUUUUUCUUUUUUGAAAGAUUACAUCAAAAAUUGGUUCAAAUGCGUCGUCACUGAUUGUGAUCUAGCAUGCAGUUUCAAACUGACACAGAUGGUGUCCCACAUCAUCUCUUUGACUGGGAGUGCAGGACUCUUGGCUUAGCCAUCCCAUCUAAAUCCCUGGGAGCUCCAAAAUGUAGGACUUUAACCUUCCUUUUUGGUUUUUGUGCCUUUUUCUUUUUUCCCAGCAUGAUGGAGCACGUAAGCAUGCACCCGGGUUGUUGAAGCCAGCAACCAUCUCCUGCCGGGGCCAGUGUAAGAGUGGGCUGACGGUGGCAGUGGAAAACCCAUGAGAGGCUUCCAGAUGAGCGUAUGUAUCCCCCUGCUGGAUCUCUGUAAGACCCCAUCCCAGUGGUGUAACACCCAGUGCACCCCAUCAGCAGAUGUCCAGGAUCCACCUCCUCAGCUCUCGCCCUUCUCUCUGACUGCCAAACCUGUUUUCUCUGUGCCCAGUUACUAAAAGCAGGAGAUUCUCAAACACAGCAAAACAAAAAAUACUCCUAGGGCUUAGAAUUAUUUGGGGGUAUCACGGAGAGAGGUGUUUCUUUGUGCAGGGUGCUCUUUCAGACAAUGAGUGUGGACAGCUCCUUCCAGGUAGAACCGUGCUGAAGGAGCGCUUGUUUGGAAGCACCGAAGAGCAGAGGGAUGCAGCUGCUUAGAGCCCCACCGUGCAUUACGAGGUGCGUGGAUGACGUGAGAGUUUGCACAUGUAGGAGCACACUGGGCACCGGGCACUGCCCGUCCCCUUCCAACCCUGCCACCCUUCGCAAAGGGAUCACUUCUGGACUGUCCCUGCCACAGCAGCAGUACAGGAGAAGCUUGCAGCUCGGCUUUUCCCCAGAACAAAAUUCAGCCGCUGGCAAUGCUCUUUCAAAGAAUUUCCGAAAGUUUGACUUCAUUUUCUGCCGAACCGAGGGUAGCAGUUUGCCUGGUUAUUCCACUUCGAGCCAUGCCUCAAUCUCUUGGCGUGUGCGUGCUCCACACAUCCUUUCCUAUCUGUGCAGCUGCAAUAAGCUGCCGAGCUGAUAAGGGAGCAGAUCGGUAUCCGUCCUGUAAAACCCAACGCGAGUGGAAGUUCAGUGUUCCACCACGCAACCGCCAGACACCGCAGAGCAUCUGCAAUUUACUUGGUGAAGUUUUGCUGACACGAGCUGCUCUGCAAGCUCCCUAAAGUGGAAUUUGUCACUAUCACCUCCACACCUAUCGCUGGAAAAAACAGAUAAACCCCUGAGUGGGGAGACCUGGGUCUGACAUCAGACAGCGCUGGGGCUUUUGUCCCUGGGCUCAGCGACUUUUUCCAAGAGCAGGUGCUGGUACUUUUAGCUGUGAACUUUGUUUUCCGAUGGCCUUGUGGUGCUGCGGCAGCGGUGCCCUCCGCACAAGCGAUUGGGGUGCUUUUACUGAGCACACGACUGCUUCCUCCCUGAAACUCGAGUGACUCUCAGGAUGUAGAUAAGUGAAAUGGCAAAUGCUGUGCUACAGGUCCUUGGCCAGGGGACGGGGCUAAUGCUGCACCUUGUAAAUGCCACCCACUCUUUCCCUGGUGGGGAGCAGCCUUCAGAUCCCAGAGGGAGACCGGUAAAAGCCUGGGAUUUAUUCCCAGCCUGCAGUGCCGUCCCACGCUCCCUUCACGGCCUCACAGAGCCCGGUCCCCAGGGCAUCGCGUCCCCGCCAUCUCCUAGCGACAGGGACACGUGCCAAGAGCCAGGGAAUUCUGGAUGGCGGCGCCUGGCCCCCGCCGCCUCUCGGCUGCUUUUUGGGAGCACCUGCGGUGCCUGGGCCUGCGGGACUUCCCCUGUGGCCUUGGCAGCUGGAAUAAGUCCCGCUUCAGCGCACGCACGAGCCCCUCGGGGCAGGAGGAGGAUGAGGACCUGCCACUGGGCGAGGAGAGCCCCGAGGCACUGCUGGAGCUGCUGAGAGACCCACACAGCCCCUGGGCCCUGCCGCCGGGCUGCAGCCCCCAGGACCAGCAGCUGCGGGACGUGGCCGUGCAGGCACCCCAGCUUGUCCGUGGCACCCGCGUCCUCCAGGUCUUCAGGUCCCUGCGGAUCGUCGGCAAGGAUGUAGAGGAAGUCGACGAGGAUCUGCUGCAGUUACAGCACCUGGAGGAGCUCAUACUCUGUGCCAACCAGAUCAGCAGGGUAACCUCGGCCAACCUGCCCCGGACAUUGAAGGUCCUGGAGCUCUGCUGCAAUGCUGUGGCUGAUCUGCAGGAGCUGUGCGCUCAGCCCCCUCCGCAGCUGCAGCACCUGGGGCUGGGGUACAACAGGCUGUGCGGCCCCUCGCAGGACAAGUACCUCACUGCGGACUUCUGGCCAAAUCUCAUCUCCCUUGACCUGAGCUUUAACAACUUAACAGAGCUGCUGGGGCUGGUCUCCCAGCUGUCCAGUCUGCAGAAGCUCCGCGUCCUGGUGCUCCAAGGGAACCCUCUGGCUCUUGUUCCUGCUUACAGAGGCUUCGUCGUGGACAGCCUGCCCCAGCUGUCCGUCCUGGACGACAUCCACGUAGGGCCCGACGAGAGGCACCAGUUCCGUGGUUUGGCGAGGCAGCCAGAGCUGAUAAGAAGUGAAGCACAAGUGGUUGUGAGCAUUGGGAAAAUCAAGGGAGUUCCCGAUCCCAGCACUCUCCAGGGACUGGAGGUUGGCUCCGAGGCACCGGUGAUCACCUACAGCUACUGCGUGACCUACGAGUUUGUGGAGGGAGAGGAGAUGGAGGACGGCGGCAGCACUGAGGUGAUGAAAAUUCAUCAGAGUCCUGUGGUGGCCACCCUGGGUGCGGACAGCUCUGCAAGGGACACGGGGGGAACAAAGGGCCAGCAGGAGUCUGCAGCCACGGAGGAGCCCAUGACACAUGCUGCACAUUUGUUUGUCACCCCUGGAAGGCCCUGGGCAGACACCAUUGACUGCAGCUACAGGAGGGAGCACACUGCCAAGGACUUAGUGAGGCUGAAGGGCUACCUGGAGGCUGGAACGAUCGUCUCAGUCGUGGAGGAGAAGGUGCUCUCGUGGCCUGUUGAUGCUGACUCAGAAGAAAGUGCAGUAACAAACAAGAAGGCAGGCCAGGGGCUAAAGAAGGACAGUGCCAAGAGUCCUGUGCCCAGGGACAAGCAGAAGCAGAAGCAGCAGGAGAAGAAAAAGAAGAAGAAGCCGUGUGAACUCCGCAGCGACCCACCCAUUCGGAGAACCCUGGGCUCUGGGAGAGUGAGCCUGGAGGCCCUGCUGGCCACUGAGGACCUGGUGACAACUGUGUGUGACUUUGGGAUCCUCGUCACCGAGCAGCCGCUGCAGCCACCGAGUCUGGAGGAGAAAGUGGACAAGAAAAAAGGCAAAGAGAAGAGCAAAAAAACGAAAGCAGAGAGUCAGGCCAGCCGGAAAACCACAGCAUCUGCCAAAGGAAAAAGAAAAACCAAAGACUCCGCUGAGCCGGAGGAGGGCCGAGGGCUCGAGGCAGUGCCGUUGACAGUGGAAUUCCAGGUGCAGCUGCUGCGGUGGCCCUUGGCUGCUGCUCAGAGCCCGGCGAGCGCUGCAGUGGCGGUGGGGAAGGCUCAAUAAGGCGGCCGUGGCCGGAGCGAGUGAUAGAGGUCAGUGAAAUAAAGCCCACGGGGACACUGCUCGACCGACUGCUGGGGCUGCUGAGUCUCCAGGGCUGUGGGAUGGAGCGCGGUGGGCCUGGAUCCCGCACCGGAGGUUGCGAUGUAUCCCAGGAUUAAAAACCUGGCGCUUUAUGCCUUGUCGGUCACGCUGCUGGCGUGUCUUUUUUAUCUAAAGAGAGAGGC